GACGAACGCUGGCGGCGUGCUUAACACAUGCAAGUCGAACGGAAAGGCCCUGCUUUUGUGGGGUGCUCGAGUGGCGAACGGGUGAGUAACACGUGAGUAUCCUGCCCUUGACUUUGGGAUAACUUCAGGAAACUGGGGCUAAUACCGGAUAGGAGCUCCUGCUGCAUGGUGGGGGUUGGAAAGUUUCGGCGGUUGGGGAUGGACUCGCGGCUUAUCAGCUUGUUGGUGGGGUAGUGGCUUACCAAGGCUUUGACGGGUAGCCGGCCUGAGAGGGUGACCGGCCACAUUGGGACUGAGAUACGGCCCAGACUCCUACGGGAGGCAGCAGUGGGGAAUAGUGCACAAUGGGCGGAAGCCUGAUGCAGCAACGCCGCGUGCGGGAUGACGGCCUUCGGGUUGUAAACCGCUUUCGCCUGUGACGAAGCGUGAGUGACGGUAAUGGGUAAAGAAGCACCGGCUAACUACGUG
Molecule: ribosomal RNA, 468 nt
Filed under: uncultured bacterium
Lineage: Bacteria
Description: partial 16S ribosomal RNA
Rfam family: Bacterial small subunit ribosomal RNA
Source: RNAcentral